Molecule: ribosomal RNA, 1432 nt
Filed under: Klebsiella pneumoniae
Lineage: Bacteria; Pseudomonadati; Pseudomonadota; Gammaproteobacteria; Enterobacterales; Enterobacteriaceae
Description: 16S ribosomal RNA
Rfam family: Bacterial small subunit ribosomal RNA
Source: RNAcentral
ACACAUGCAAGUCGAGGCGGUUAGCCCAGAGAGCCUUGCCUCUUCGGGUUGCCUUUCGGCGAGACGGGUGAGUUAAUGUCUGGGAAACUGCCCCUGCAUGGAGGGGGGAUAACUACUGGAAACGGUAGCUAAUACCGCAUAACGUCGCAAGACCAAAGUGGGGGACCUUCGGGCCUCAUGCCAUCAGAUGUGCCCAGAUGGGAUUAGCUAGUAGGUGGGGUAACGGCUCACCUAGGCGACGAUCCCUAGCUGGUCUGAGAGGAUGACCAGCCACACUGGAACUGAGACACGGUCCAGACUCCUACGGGAGGCAGCAGUGGGGAAUAUUGCACAAUGGGCGCAAGCCUGAUGCAGCCAUGCCGCGUGUGUGAAGAAGGCCUUCGGGUUGUAAAGCACUUUCAGCGGGGAGGAAGGCGUAAGGUUAAUAACCUUGUCGAUUGACGUUACCCGCAGAAGAAGCACCGGCUAACUCCGUGCCAGCAGCCGCGGUAAUACGGAGGGUGCAAGCGUUAAUCGGAAUUACUGGGGCGUAAAGCGCACGCAGGCGGUCUGUCAAGUCGGAUGUGAAAUCCCCGGGCUCAACCUGGGAACUGCAUUCAAACUGGCAGGCUAGAGUCUUGUAAAGGGGGGUAGAAUUCCAGGUGUAGCGGUGAAAUGCGUAAAAAAUUGGAGUACCGGUGGCAAGGCGGCCCCCUGGACAAAAGACUGACGUCAGGGUGCGAAACCGUGGGGGAGCAACAGGAUUAGAUACCCUGUAGUCCACCCGUAAACGAUGUCGAUUUGGAGGUUGUGCCCUUGAGGCGUGGCUUCCGGAGCUAACGCGUUAAACUUUGACCGCCUGGGGAGUACGGCCGCAAAGGUUAAAACUCAAAUGAAUUGACGGGGGCCCGCACAAGCGGUGGAGCAUGUGGUUUAAUUCGAUGCAACGCGAAGAACCUUACCUGGUCUUGACAUCCACAGAACUUUCCAGAGAUGGAUUGGUGCCUUCGGGAACUGUGAGACAGGUGCUGCAUGGCUGUCGUCAGCUCGUGUUGUGAAAUGUUGGGUUAAGUCCCGCAACGAGCGCAACCCUUAUCCUUUGUUGCCAGCGGUUCGGCCGGGAACUCAAAGGAGACUGCCAGUGAUAAACUGGAGGAAGGUGGGGAUGACGUCAAGUCAUCAUGGCCCUUACGACCAGGGCUACACACGUGCUACAAUGGCAUAUACAAAGAGAAGCGACCUCGCGAGAGCAAGCGGACCUCAUAAAGUAUGUCGUAGUCCGGAUUGGAGUCUGCAACUCGACUCCAUGAAGUCGGAAUCGCUAGUAAUCGUAGAUCAGAAUGCUACGGUGAAAUACGUUCCCGGGGCCUUGUACACACCGCCCGUCACACCAUGGGGAGUGGGGUUGCAAAAAGAAGUAGGUAGCUUAACCUUCGGGGAGGGCGCUUACCAC